GUGUUCCGUAUGCUGACCUAUCCAUUCAGGCACCUCAAACUACAGACUGACUAACAUAAAGCAAGACUUGUUUCAUCUCCUCCCAGAAAGGGAAAAUGAGGUCACAGAGUCCUGAAAGCCUGGUUCCCACCGUGCACUUGGCACAGCCAGACUAGCAGAGAACCUCUCGGAGGCUCCUCCACUCAGCUGCGGUGACGCAGCAUUCUUCCUAAUGCCUCUGCAGUCUGUGCAUCCCUCAGCUUCGAAAGGAUAAACUUGCAAUGGCUAACCCAGCCUUCACAUAGAUGAAAAGGACAGAAAAUGAUUCUUUUAAGGAAAAAAAAUACAAGAUUUAAGGCUACCUCUACCAGUGACUGAUAACCUCCUGAAAAAAUGAUUUCAACAGCCACAUUCUAAGGUACCCAAAAAGCCCUAACAUAAACUUGAGCACAUGACUGAGGAUAGGCUAUACUCUACGUUUGUAAGAGAUGUCAAGACACACUAUGUUAGGAUGCUGCUUACCUGACGACUUCAUACCUUCAAAGACUAAAAAUACAACAUGCAGACUAUACCUAUGGCAACCAUCUUAUCUAAACAUCUGACAAAGAUGCCAAUGCUUUACCGAAGUCCAAUGAUAAAAACUGAUUGCACACAAGGUCAUCCACUCACUCAACAGACUGUGUGCCAAGCACUAUCCUGGGCAUUGAAGUAUAGGAGGGAGUAAGACCAAGUUCCUGUAUAUACAAAAAAUUAGCUGGGCGUGGUUGUGCAUAUCUGUAAUUCCAGCUACUCAGGAGGCUGAGGCAGAAGAAUUGCUUGAACCCAGGAGUCAGAGAUAAGCCAAGAUCGCACCACUGCACUCCAGCCCAGGUGAAAGAGCAAGACUCUGGGAGGACACGGCUGCAGUGAGCUACCAUUAGGCCAUCAAAUUUCAGCCUGGGUGACAGGGCAAGAUUUUGCUUCUUAAAAGAAAAAAAUGCCAGGCGUGGUGGUUCAAGCCUGUAAUCCCAGCACUUCGGGAGGCCGAGGAGGGUGGACGACCUCAGGUCAGGAGUUCAAGACCAGCCUGGCCAACAUCGCAAAACCCCAUGUCUACUAAAAAUACAAAAAAAAAAAAAAAAAACUAGCCAGGCAUGGUGGCAGGUGCCUGUAAGCCCAGCUAUUCAGGAAGCUGAAGCAGGAGAAUUGCUUGAGCCCUGGAGGCAGAAGUUGCAGUGAGCCGAGAUAGUGCCCAGCAUUCCAGCCUGGGUGACAGAACAAGACUUCAUUUCAAAGAAAAAAAGCUCCAAAAAACCCAACCCAAGACUCCCACACCGCAAAACUAAAACCCUUUAGUGUUCUAAAGACAUUAUGUGGGGACUUCUCUACAGAUUUUCAAAGACUAUUUCAUAAUAUAGGAUUAUCUAUAAAUCAAACGUAAUUGACUUAUCAGAAGUAGCAGCCUGUGUAUUUAUUAUUCUGUACAGUAUAGCCCAAUUAAGUAUUCCCUGAGGUAAAAAAAAAAAAAAUCUGAGGUAUUCUCUAUACAAAGUAGUUGGGGAUGGGGUAGGGAAUGAAGGACACUACUAUACCAAGUUUAUUAUGAAAUACAGGAUCAUAGUUAAAAAAAAAGUCAAAAGUUCCAAAGAGCCUAGGAAAAAGGUACAAGAAAGGACUCUCAUCUUUGUACAGAUCCACCUAACACACAAGUAAAACUUCACCUGGAAAUAAUGUGAAUGCCUGAUCAUCUAUCUAGUCAUGUGGGAUGGGAAAGAAGGUCUUCACAUAACCCCCUACGUUCACCAGAAUAGUUCACUUUUACAUAUUGGAUAUUCUGUUUUUGUCUAAAGAAAAGGGAAGAUAACCUAAAUAUAUUUCUCAUAAUACAUGAGAAUGCCAAAAGCCCUGUUUUCUUUGACUAGAAUUUAAAAAUACUCAACAGGAGCACUGAGGAGUAUCCCUUCUGUACAAUGCCAGUCCUUAACAGAAGCACCUCACCUCCACUGUGUCUGUCCCUACCAAAUUACCAACAUGCUUGGAGCAAACAUUCAGAGAAUAGAAAAUGUUUAAAAAGAAGUUUUUUGAAAUAAAAAGAUGUACUUUUAAUCUUAAUUUCCAAGAUAGACUUUUAAGAGUUGGAAUGUAUCUUAAUGGUCAAAUAUUCAGAUUUUAGCAGUUAGGAUCCCCAAAGCUUACCAGUCUAUUUUCUUGAAAUUUAACUCCUAAAAAGAAGCAGAAAGAGUCACACUCACCUGAAAACUCCUGUUAGAGAAGAACUGGCCUGCAAGAGUGUAUGUGCAUGUACACGCAGAGUGGGGGAAGAUCCUCAAAGUCAAUAUUGUUUUAUUUAUUUAUUUUUUUGAGACAGAGUCGAGAUCCAUUGGCAGUUUGGAGUGCAGUGGUGUAAUCUCGGCUCACUGCAAGCUCUGCCUCCUGGGUUCAAGCAAUUCUCCUGCCUCAGCCUCAAGUACCUGGGACUAUAGGUGCCUGCCACCACACCCAGCUAAUUUUUGGUAUUUUAGUAGAGAUGGAGUUGGCCAGUAUGAUCUCUAACUCCUGACCUCACGAUCUGCCUGCCUCGGCCUCCCAAAGUGCUGGGAUUACAGGAGUGAGCCAUCGCACCCGGUCCAUCAAUAUUGCUUUAAACACUAUGCCAAUCAUUCUUCAUUUCAUCAUACCCAUUCUCAUACCCACAUGAAAAAUAUACAGUUAAUACUACAAAUUAGCUGGGCUGCUCCCCAGUGUGGGCGACAGAGCGAGACUCCAUGUUAAAAAAAAAAAAAAAACCCAGAAAACAAAAACAAAAUAUAUGGUUAAGAAAUCAGUUA
Molecule: long non-coding RNA, 2786 nt
Organism: Callithrix jacchus (white-tufted-ear marmoset)
Lineage: Eukaryota; Metazoa; Chordata; Mammalia; Primates; Cebidae
Source: RefSeq, a predicted model, not a curated record